GGAGAGGUGGCCGAGUGGUUUAAGGCGCGGUCUUGGAAAGGCCGAUCGGUUUUAAUCGACGCAGGUUCAAAUCCUGUCCUCUCCG
Molecule: transfer RNA, 85 nt
Filed under: Oscillatoria sp. SIO1A7
Lineage: Bacteria; Bacillati; Cyanobacteriota; Cyanophyceae; Oscillatoriales; Oscillatoriaceae
Description: tRNA-Ser
Rfam family: tRNA
About the family: Transfer RNA (tRNA) molecules are approximately 80 nucleotides in length. Their secondary structure includes four short double-helical elements and three loops (D, anti-codon, and T loops).
Source: RNAcentral